AAAUAUGUCUUAAAGAAAAAGUUUGUGUGUCAACUGCUUAAUUUUGUGGUGGGACAAGCAAAAAUGGCUAUUUAUUUAAGCAGGAGAAAAAAAAUUGAACAGGAUGUACACUGUAAAAAAUUUCCGUAAAAAUACGGUACAAUGUACCAUAUAAAUGUGAAGGAUUUUUUCCGUAUUUGUCUUUUACGGAUCUUUUACCCUUAUUUUGAAUUACGCGUUGCAUUGUGGGAAAAAGAUCCCGGCAGCGCGAAAAGUUUAAGACGCAUCCGCCAUUACACACGCAGAUGACCGGGGGCAAAGUUGCUUUUUAGAGCCGGAUUUCGGGUGUGUUGAAGCCAUUCUGACACUUAUGUGGUAAAACUUAAACUUAAAAACGAAAAUUAUGUUUUGCUUGAUGUCAAAAAAGCUGUUAACGUAACGUUAUUUUUAGUUACCAUCUGGCAUUAACUGUUAGGCAAAUAAAUGUCGGAGCCGUCACGUUUAUCAUUUUAUGCAUAUCGUCACACAUUGAAAGAUUUAGUUAUGACUCGUGGAUGUUCUCGAUUGUAGUGUCCUUGUUGUAAUGGGCUUAUUUACUUUUAUUUGUCGUGAUGCGUUUUAUUUCUUGCCGAGCGAAUCCGUUAACUAGUUGUGAUAUUUCUAACGUUAGCUAGCUGCUAGUGGUUUUAGAGCAAUUUAAUGCCUUCAAGCAAAAGCAACCAGAGCAGAGGAAUCGUCAAGAAAAGUAAACGCCAUUAAGACUUGCUUGAUUUGAAAGGCAUGAAGACACAACGUGAAGAGACUGUGUGUGAAUAUGCAGUAACUUAACCGGUAGCUGCUACAGCUGGAUCAAGGAAAACACCAGCACCUUUUCUGCAAAAUGAGGACCUUUCUGCUGUAGUUUACAUCCCAAGCACCACCUGCAUGCUUCUUAUGGGUGGUGGACAUUCAGGGUUGCUGUCAUUCAAGAAGUUAUUGACCAUCUCCUACCCUAUUAAGGCAGUAAGAUGCAAAAUACCUGAAGAAAAUGGCACUUAUCCUGGAGUUCAUAUAAAGAAAUCCUGAACGAAGGUUGAAAAGGCUGAGAUGAAGGAAACGUCCCCAUUCCUCCAAAACUGCUGAAGUUCCUGUUUGAACAACUUCGAAAAACCAGCUGGCAUCUUGGGGAGGACGACCUCGCAUCCAGUAUGCUGCUGUGGGUGACGCAGGAUUUCGAACUCAUUCGAUCACUUGUCUCUAUGCUUUUCGAACUGUGGCGACUAAUCGUGCCUUGCUGUGGGUCAAGCCGCUGGAUCUUCAGAUCUUCUUCGAUCUGCUUAAUCCAUCCUUUUUUGGGUGCAGUGCGCUGGAUUCUACACUGGGUUGGACGUUUCCUCCAGAGGACUUGUGGUAUUCAAUUUGCAUCCAUUCUGCACGUGUCCAAACAUUUCACUCUAUUGACUAGAAGUCUAAAGCAAUUUUUAAGGAUUAAAGCAGAAGCCUUAUCUUCAUUGCAUUUUGUUUGUUUCUGUAUUGUAUCGUAUUCUAUUAGUAUUGCAUUUGAAAAUGUUUUGAAUCUUGACUUUCACAGUUUAUGAAGGGUUUUUUUUCUCAUUUUUUUAAAAUAAUUUUGUGAGCUAUUUGGUACAACACCAAUAUUGUACCUGCUCAUGUUUUCUUUUCUUUUUUUUUCAUUUCUCCCAUGUUUGUUUAAUUUCUUAACUUUUUCCACAAUACAAGCACUUUUUUAUGGUGCUUUGCACAUUGUUAAAUUGUGUGUGUCUGUCUGUGUAUAUCAAUCUUUACCCAUUGAAUACGUUUUAAGAAUGUUUACAUGAAAUUUUUACAAAAAUAAAACAUGUUCAAUAUGUAUAUAUUGUUCUUGAAUUAUUUGCUACCAAAAUAUAUGCUAUAAAAAUAGAAAUUUCUGUAUAAGGAUUAUCCGUGAAUAGUACAGAAAAUACGGAAUUUUCCAUUUUAGGUUUGACGGAAAUGUCCGUCAAUGGUACAGAAAAACUCAUAAAAAUAGAAAUGUAAAUCUACGGAAAUAUCCGUUCUAAGGUUUACGGAAGUGCCCGUACAAAAACGGAAAAAGUGAUGGUAAUUAAUUACCAGCACUUUUUCCGUUUUUUAACGGAGAUUUUUUUAACAGUGUAGUACAAAACAUUGUUGUAUUGUUUUUUAACUUAG
Pimephales promelas (fathead minnow) is the source of this 2148-nucleotide non-coding RNA. The record is from RefSeq and is a predicted model, not a curated record. NCBI's taxonomy places the organism in Eukaryota, Metazoa, Chordata, Actinopteri, Cypriniformes, Leuciscidae.